UGCAAACUGCCGGAUGGACAACCAGGAACUUGUUGUCCGGAUCUUCGCCGUAACGGUUAUGGCGAAGCUAUCAAGAAAACCAAGAAAAAUGUGAAAUGUGUGAGCAUCAGGGUAUUGACAUUUACUCUGUGAACGCGGCUGCUCACGCGGGUCGCUUCAACAUGAGGUUAAUGGACGAGACGGAGAAAUUCCUUCGCGACAAGAACAUCACCAUCAGACUCAGUUCGUCAUCUUACGCGCAUUUACUUUUCCAGACAGCGACCGAAGCUGAACAUCUUAGUCGUGCCGCAUUAACUAGUAUUGAGACAACCAGAGAACGUGGCAAAAGAUUCGAAAUGACUCCAGCAGAAGAGGCUGGUUUGGGUUUGACUCAAUUCCAUACGAGCUACUACUACGAGCUACAACUUACGAGCUAC
Molecule: long non-coding RNA, 416 nt
Organism: Daphnia pulicaria
Lineage: Eukaryota; Metazoa; Arthropoda; Branchiopoda; Diplostraca; Daphniidae
Exons: 3
Source: RefSeq, a predicted model, not a curated record